AAAACACCAUCAGCAUCACCAACCAUGGAGAGAUACAGGGUGAACAGGCUUUUGUUCUAGCCCAGCACUAACAAACACUAAUUUAACUCAUUCAGGUCUUGAAGAGCAUGUAUUGACAAAUCUUAGUCACACACAUGCAUCCUACAUACUCUAGCCCCACCCAUCCUCCCCACUGGACAGUAUUUUUAGCUGAAACCUGAUCUCUUCAGCAACAGAGAAUGAAGGCAACACUGCAAAACCCCUGCCUUUAACUAGCUGCGUGGACACACACAAUAACCCAUUCUGACAUGCAGACAUACACACUGUGACGCAGACACGCAGCAGGACGUUACGUACACAUGGGGACACACCCGUCUACAGUCCAGUAAGGAAAAUAAAAGAAUGAGAAGUGUGAGCUGAGGGCUGAAGUUAUUCUCCACCAAUCUGGAACAGAGCUCCAUUACAGAGACACACUGCAGCAGACAUUUCGGAUCCAUAACCAGCUUCAAGACUUCUAAAGGAUGAAGAACCUUAGACUUCUCCUCCUCUCUCUCUCCAUCUGCCUGUUGCUGGGCAACCUGGGGGUGAGUGGCUACAGUAAUGUCGAACCCUGCCAACGGUCCCGAUGCAAUAACUGCCAUGAAAAGUUCCUAUACCGGCAUGUGCGUCCAAAUACCCCGUUAACGACGGACCGCAACGCGUGGGAGAAGUAUCUACGUGAACAAAAUAACUGCUCAAGACCCACGCAGUCCUUCCUCCAUCCCAAAGACCGGGAGAGGGUGGACGCGGUCUGCUCCAGCUCUGGGGGAAAGACGUACCAGGGGAACCUGUGCAUCAGCCAACGCCCGUUCACAUUUCUAACAGUGAGGAGCGAGACUGGGACCUGCGGCGUGUCCAGCGUGCGGGAAGAGACCAAGCAUUUGAUCCUGGCAUGUGAGGUGCUGGAGAACAGGUGUGUGCCGGUCCACUUCGAGGGGAACCGCGAGGGGAGCAAGCCCGACAAUAACGCUGCAGGAUGUGGCAGCACGGAGAAAGGGAAGGGCUCAAGCUUCAAAGUAUCAGGAAUGUGGCUGGCAUCUUUAUUGAUACUCAUGUUUCUCUCACAACUCCUUUUUCUGAACAGUUAAUGGGGGGGCAGAUAGUCAAACAAUAUAUCAAAAGGAAGUUUUUUUAAAGUGUCUGUCCUACACUCUAAAAAGAAAAGGUUCCUGGAGUAUCCUUUAGGGGUUCUUCAAAUUUAAAGUGUGGGUGAACCGCUAUGAGUUCUUCACAGAACCCCUUUUAAUGGAUCCUCAGAGUACCUUUUGAACAACCUUUUGGGGUUCCUUUUUGAACUACCCCUCUCCCCUAUUAUUAAUAAUAGUAAUACGCUUAACAAAAACAACAAUAACACAAUAUUUUAUUGUUCUCAGUGUUUAUUAUGAUUUUAGUGGCAAAACAGAAUAAAAAAAUCCAAAUAUGAGGUAAACUCCCAGCAGAGCCCCAUGUCCAGUGGAAGUCCAAUGGAAGUAUAUCCUCUGGCGUGUUGAUGUUAUUGUGUUGAUGUUCUCCGUAUCCAUAGCCAGAAUGAGGCGUAUUUCUGUCUGUAAUAAUGCCCUUUUGUGUGGGAAAACUCAUUCUGAUUGGCUGGGCCUGGCUCCCCAGUAGGUUGGCCUAUGCUCUCCCUGGCCCACCCAUGUUUGCGUCCCUGCCCAUUCAUGUGAAAUCCAUAGAUUAGGGCCUAAUUUAUUUAUUUCAAUUGACAGAUCUCAGCAAAAUCUUUGAAAUCGUUGCAUGUUGCGUUUAUAUUUUUGUUCAGUAUACUUCCAUAUAUACUUCCAUUCAUUGGUGUGUAGCCCAAACUGUUCUGAAGCUACAGACAGAAGUUGGCAGAUCGGUGGUACCGACUUGUGCGGGUCGUAAAAAACUGAGAACACCAUCAUGUUGGUCAUCUUUCCAUAGAGGGGUCAUAUUAGUUUGUUGGCCAAACCGUUCGGACGCUACAGACGUUUUUGUGAGAAGAACGAUUUUCGCCAUGUCUCAUGGUCUGACAAACAGUAGCUUGGUCACCUUCCACCGCAGAUGCGGAAGGACGCCAUUGGCGGAUGUGGUGAAUUGAGACGCAGCCCAUCCAAAAAGCUACAUAUCUCUAGCUCAAAGCUACAAUAUGUAACUUUUUGGGCAACCCGACCAAAUUCACAUAGAAAUAUGAGUUAUAGAUCUUUCAUGAAAGAAAGUCUAAGAAGCGGUAGAUCUGUUCUAUGUGUGCUAUUUGUGCGUCUUUUACUUUCAGAUUUGUACACAAGCAAUAUUUUUGGUUAUGUAAAAAUAUUUCACAGCAGUUUAGGUGGUACUAUGAUUCUCUACACAAUGACUGCUUGUUUUGUCAUUAAAGGAAAUUAGGUGAACUAUUACAAUUUUAUCAACCAGGAAAUGGAGGAGUGAUUCCUUAAUAGUACAUCUUUAAAACAGACGGAUUUUGAUGGGGAUUUUUGUAUUAUGCAAAUUAUUUUUCAGCGGGGGGGGGGCGGACAUCGACUCUAGGGGGUGUAGACUGCCAUGUAUUCAGGUCUGGCCCUGGGCUAUAAUGUUUCACUAACAACAUUUAAAAGACUGCCAUCUAUUCAGGUCUGACCCUGGGUCUGACCCUGGGCUAUGAUAGCGUGGGUACCUUGUACUCUGUGUCAUAUGCCAAAGAUGUUUAGCAUAAAAAGAGUGGCAAGGAGGGGAAUGAUAGCUAAACAGACUGGUACCCGUACCAGACUAGGGCUAUGACGUUUCACACACAACAGUUAAAAGACUGCCAUGUUUUGUUCUCUCACAACAUCUAUUCUGAACAGUUGAAAGACUGGGCAUUUGUUUUGUCAUAUGUAUGUUAUGGACGGUGUUGCCCGUUCCUGUGUGCCAGUCAGGGAUCUGUCUAUGGCUGUGGGCCCCAGCCUAAUGUUGGCGUCAGCAUUUCAUUACUUUGUACUUCAUUUGAAAAAGUGUAUUGUACCAUGCUGAAUAUAUGCACUAUCAAUAAAGGUUGAUUUUGGUAGAAUGUUGAAGAGCAGCAUCAUCAGCCAGCAUCAUCAGCCAGCACCAUAGGCCUUAACACAGAGGUUAAACCACAUGACCUCAUCUGAGAGGUCACACACAAGCAGCACAUUCCGAGUUGGCAGGCAAGUGCUUUACUAUGAGCACGUAAACAUGUAAUACACCCCCAUCAGCCUACAACAUGGAUUGGCUUUUGUAGGCCUGCAAAAAAAAGGAGAAAGAAAGAAGAUUUUUAGGAACUCAGUCGGGGUCUCAACUUACUGUUGAGUUACAAUAGUAGAAACACAAGGUGACAUUUAGAAAUCUGGUUGUGCAUCAGUAGUUUUUCUGUUGUUUUGUCAGUCACUGACAUUCACUCAGUUAACCAUGUCUGCUAACAUUGUUUAGAUUGGUAAGUUAGUCUAGCGUCCAGCUAUCUAAACAUGUAGUAAUCAUGGACCGGGGGGCCCUAUUGAUUAUGUUAGUCACUCUCACUUAGAUAUCAUAUUAAAAACUGCAAACAUUUCUCUUCACCCUAUUGCAAAAUGUGUAGAAUUGAAGGAAAUUUGCUGUAAAAUUGCAAAUGUUUCUCUCCGCCCCAUGGCAAAAUUAGUAGAAUGCAUUAAAUUUGUUAUAAAACUGCCAAAUCUUAUCUCCACCUUAUGGCAAAAUGUGUAGAAUUGCAGAAAAUUUACUCUAAAACUUCCAUCACAAGGAUAGGAGCACGUAAGGAUGCAUUGUGAAAGUAUCAGAGCAGUGCCAUGGUCAGGAAGAACUUCAAAAGUAUUGAGAUGGAAUGUGGGCAUUCUUCAGUGUUUCUAUAGGGUGGGCAGCAUGCACUUUUAGCCUAGUUCUGCUCAAUGGGCAAUUGAACAGGAAUAGAAUGUGAAAGAGGAAGUUCAUUUGUGGUUUAGACAAUUCUCAACUAUUGGGCUAUUCAGAACUCCACUGUGACCCCUUUCCUUGUUCUAUAGGCCACUCAGAUCGAGCUUCUCUAUCACACAUGCACUGUGUGAGGGACGUCUAGAAAUAGAGGGCCGUAUGUGGAGCUCACCUGGUGAAACUUGUUCUGCAUGCACACACAAACACAGACACACGCAGGGAUAAGCAACAUAAACUCACAUACACGGACGGUUCCAGGGAUAAGCAACAUAAACUCACAUACACGGACGGUUCCAGGGAUAAGCAACAUAAACUCACAUACACGGCUGGUUCCAGGGAUAAGCAACAUAAACUCACAUACACGGCUGGUUCCAGGGAUAAGCAACAUAAACUCACAUACACGGCUGGUUCCAGGGAUAAGCAACAUAAACUCACAUACACGGCUGGUUCCAGGGAUAAGCAACAUAAACUCACAUACACGGCCGGUUCCAGGGAUAAGCAGUCACUAAGGGCUUUUUCUGGAACUUUUUUUAUUUAAUUUCUUUUACCUUAAUUAUCUAGGCAGGUCAGUUAAGAACAAAUUCUUAUUUACAAUGAUGUCCUACCAAAAGGCAAAAGGCCUCCUGGGGGAAUGGGGGCUGGGAUUUAAAAAGAAAUCUGCAAAUAAAAUAUAGGACAAAACACACAUCACGACAAGAGAGACAACACAACACUACAUAAAGAGAGACCUAAGACGACAAAAUAGCAUGGACGCAACACAUGAAAACACAGCAUGGUAGCAACACAACAUGACAACAACAUGGUAGCAACACAACAUGGCAGCAGCACAACAUGGUAGCAACACAAAACAUGGUACAAACAUGAGUCCCUGAACUGAGUCAGGGUCUCAACUUAAUAUUGAGAGUAAGAAUAGUAGAAUUAAUCAGGUGCAAUCUCAACAUCUGGUUGUGCAUCAGCAGUUUUUCCUUAAUAUUUUUUAUCUGACGUCAGUCACUGACAGCAGGUUUCCAUCCAAUUGGUGACAGAUUUUCAUGCGAAUAUUCUAACAUCAGCAUAAAAACAAUCUGCACGUUUUCCCAUCAGAGAUGUGUUUCUAUCAAAUUGACUUGUUGCAGAUAAAACCCUGUGCGUGAUGAUGCGUGCACAGAAGCAUACAUUUUCCGUAUAAAUUCCCAUGUACCGAAUAUACAGUACCAGUCAAAAGUUUGGACACACCUACUCAUUUAAGAGUUUUACUUUAUUUUUUACUAUUUUCUACAUUGUAGAAUAAUAGUGAAGACAUCAAUUCCAUAUGAAAUAACAUAUAUGGAAUCAUGUAGUAACCAAAAAAGUGUUAAACAAAUCAAAAUAUAUUUUAGAUUUUAGAUUCUUCAAAAUAGCCACCCUUUGCCUUGAUGACAGCUUUGCACACUCUUGGCAUUCUCUCAAUCAGCUUCAUGAGGAAUGCUUUUCAAACAGUCUUGAAGGAGUUCCCACAUAUGCUGAGCACUUGUUGGCUACUUUUCCUUCACUCUGCGGUCCAACUCAUCCCAACCCAUCUCAAUUGGGUUGAGGUCGGGUGAUUUUGGAGGCCAGGUCAUCUGAUGCAGCACUCCAUCACUCUCCUUGGUCAAAUAGCCCUUACACAGCCUGGAGGUGUGUUUUGGGUCAUUGUCCUUUUGAAAAACAAAUGAUAGUCCCCCUAAGCCCAAACCAGAUGGGAUGACGUAUCGCUGCAGAAUGCUGUGGUAGUGUAAUGGAAAUUAUAUGAUUAAAGGUUUGACUAAAUUAUUUCACCCUGAAAAUGUAUAACCGAGUGAUUAUAAAUCAAAUCAAAUGUAUUUAUAUAGCCCUUCUUACAUCAGCUGAUAUCUCAAAGUGCUGUACAGAAACCCAGCCUAAAACCCCAAACAGCAAGCAAUGCAGGUGUAGAAGCACAUAAGGUUAAUGUACUAAUGUGUGUGCAUGGGACAAGCUGAGACUUUAAUAUGUAGCAAUGUAAGUGAAACGUUCAAGGAGAAGUGGAACUAUUAACAGACAGCAGACAACUUGUGACCGCGGAGGAACUGAUAACAGGAAGAGGAGGGGAGGGGAGAAACAUUGAGGCUACAGUAGAUUAGGUCCCAGGUGCAAGAUAUGAUAAACAAUGUAUGUGUUGUAGAAAAGUUUGUAAACUGCAUUGUCAGUGUUAGAGAAGAGGAGGGGCAUUUGUAUGACGAAAUGUGUAAUAUAAAAGGCAUUGUAUGGAUUUUAGAGCUCUCGUAAAUAAACAUCCUGAUUAUUGUAGAUCUCAGUCUGUUUCUUUCAACCGGAACCUUACACCUUCUGGUAUACAAACUGAGUAGUUAAAUUGAAGUUCGGUUUAAGAACAUUGCUAACUUAAUUCCCAUAACAGGAAGCCAUGCUGGUUAAGUGAGCCUUGAAUUCUAAAUAAAUCACUGACAUUGUUACCAGCAAAGCCCCCCCACACCAUCACACCUCCUCCUCCAUGCUUCACAGUGGGAACCACACAUGUGGAGAUCAUCCGUUCACCUACUCUGCGUUUCACAAAGACACGGUGGUUGGAACCAAAAAUCUCAAAUUUGGACCCAUCAGACCAAAGGACAGAUUCCCACCGGUCUAAAGUCCAUUGCUCGUGUUUCUUGGCCCAAGCAAGUCUCUUAUUAUUAUUGGUGUCCUUUAGCGCUGGUUUCUUUGCAGCAAUUCGACCACAAUGGCCUGAUUCACACAGUCUCCUCUGAACAGUUGAUGUUGAGAUGUGUCUGUUACUUGAACUCUGUGAAGCAUUUAUUUGGGCUGCAAUCUGAGGUGCAGUUAACUCUAAUGAAUGUAUCCUCUGCAGCAGAGGUAACUCUGGGUCUUCCUUUCCUGUGGCGGUCCUUAUGAGAGCUAGUUUCAUCAUAGUGCUUGAUGGUUUUUGCGACUGCACUUCAAGAAACUUUCAAAGUUCUUGAACUUUUCCUGAUUGACUCACCUUCAUGUCUUAAUAGGGACAGACGUUCCGCUAUUUAGCAGACGCUCUUAUCCAGAGCGACUUACAAAUUGGUGCAUUCACCUUAAAUUCAAAAAGGCUUUACAACGAAAGCAAAACAUUAGAUUAUGUCAGGAGAGUACCCUGCAAAAAAAAUUAUCACACACACAUUUUUCAAGCUAGCAUAUAUGUCACAAAAACCAAAACCACAGCUAAAUGCAGCACUAACCUUUGAUGAUCUUCAUCAGAUGACACUCCUAGGACAUUAUGUUAUACAAUACGUGCAUGUUUUGUUCAAUCAAGUUCAUAUUUAUAUAAAAAAACAGCUUUUUACAUUAGCAUGUUUUGUUCAGAACUAGCAUACCCACCGAAAACUUCCGGUGAAUUUACUAAAUUACUUACGAUAAACGUUCACAAAAAACAUAAUUAUUUUAAGAAUUAUAGAUACAGAACUCCUUUAUGCAAUCGCGGUGUCCGAUUUUAAAAUAGCUUUUCGGUGAAAGCACAUUUUGCAAUAUUCUGAGUAGAUUGCCCGGCCAUCAUGGCUAGCUAUUUUGACACCCACCAAGUUUGGCACUCACCAAACUCAGAUUUACUAUAAGAAAAAUUGGAUUACCGUUGCUGUUCUUCGUCAGAAUGCACUCCCAGGACUUCUUCUUCAACACCCAAUGUUGUUUUGGUUCCAAAUAAUCCAUAGUUAUAUCGAAAUACCGCCGUUUUGUUCGUGCGUUCAAGACACGAUCCGAAGGGUGAUGCGCCGGCGCGUUUCGUGACAAAAAAUGUCAAAAUAUUCCAUUACCGUACUUCGAAGUAUGUCAAACGCUGUUUAAAAUCAAUUUUUAUGCGAUUUUUCUUGUAAAAUAGCGAUAAUAUUCCAACUGGGAGAUGUUGUAUCUGUUCAAACACUGAAAUAAGAAAAUGGAGUCGUCACAUGCAUGCGCAAGCCAGUGUCAUUGUUCUCAGAAGUACCACUCUCCAAAACCCCUACUGUUUUUCGCCCAGAGACUGCAGAGUUAUCAUUCAAUGUUCUGGCGCCUUCUGAGAGCCAAUGAAAACCUUAGAAAAUGUCACGUUACAGCAGAGCAGUAUUUUCGAUAAAGAGGCUACAGAAGGCCAAGAAAUGGUCAGACAGGGCACUUCCCAUAUAGAAUCUUCUCAGGUUUUGGCCUGCCAUAUGAGUUCUGUUAUACUCACAGACACCAUUCAAACAUUUUUAGAACAUUUUGGGUGUUUUCUAUCCAAAUCUACUAAUUAUAUGCAUAUUAUAGUUUCUGGGCAGGAGUAAUAACCAGAUUAAAUCGGGUACGUUUUUUAUCUGGCCGUGAAAAUACUGCCCCCUAUCCCAAACAGGUUAAAGUAAUGAUGGACUGUCAUUUCGCUUUCCUUAUUUGAGCUGUUCUUGCCAUAAAAUGGGAUGACAGGUAUCCUAGUUGUUAGAGCGUUGGGGCCAGUAACCGAAAGGUUGCUGGAUUGAAUCCCGGAGCUGACAAGGUAAAAAGAUCUGUCGUUCUGCCCCUGAAUAAGGCAGAUAACCCACUGUUCCCUGGUAGGAUGUCAUUGUAAAUAAGAAUUUGUUCUUAACUGACUUGCCUAGUUAAAUAAUGUUUUUUUUUUUUUUUUAAUGGACUUGGUAUUUUACCAAAUAGGGCUAUCUUCUGUAUACCACCCCUCACAGCAAAACUGAUUGGCUCAAAUGCAUUAUGAAUGAAAGAAAUUACACAAAUGAACUUUUAAGAAUGCACACCUGUUAAUUGAAAUGCAUUCCAUUCCAACCUCAUGAAGCUGGUUGAGAGAAUGCCAAGAGUGUGCAACGCUGUCAUCAAGGAAAGGGUGGCUAUUUGAGUAAUCUCAAAUAUAAAAUAUAUUUCGAUUUGUUUAACACUUUUUUGGUUACUACAUGAUUCCAUGUGUGUUAUUUCGUAGUGUUGACGGUCCCGUGUGGCUCAGUUGGUAGAGCAUGGUGUUUGCAACGCCAGGGUUGUGGGUUCGAUUCCCACGGGGGACCAGUACGGGAAAAAAAUAAUAAUAAUGUAUGAAAUGUAUGCAUUCACUACUGUAAGUUGCUCUGGAUAAGAGCGUCUGCUAAAUGACUAAAAUGUAAAAAAUGUUCA
RNAcentral lists this transfer RNA (8919 nucleotides) under Salmo salar (Atlantic salmon). Its description in RNAcentral is "lncRNA (ENSSSAG00000112701.1)". The stretch from base 8851 to 8904 matches the Rfam family "UnaL2 LINE 3' element". The record is from RNAcentral. Lineage: Eukaryota; Metazoa; Chordata; Actinopteri; Salmoniformes; Salmonidae.